UCCACCCCCCCUUCCCGGAGUGAUGUCAUCCACUGUCCACAAUUUCACGUACACCGUUCAUCAGUGUAAAUAAAAUUCGCCUUUUUCGUGUGGCUGUAACUGAAAAAACAGCGAGUAAUAAAUAAUGGCAGAUCCGAAAUUCCAAUAUUUGCCUUACAUCGCACACGACCAACCGGACGUCUACGAAACUCCGGACGUGAACGAAGCGGAAACGUCGGACUACGACGAGGACGAGCCGGUGAACGAUGCGAUCGAGCGGCUGCACAUCUCCACCAAGGACUCGAUCGGCAAGUUCCGCGGCAAGUAUCUGACCGGCGAGGUGGACUUUUCCGACGGGAUCGGGCGGAAGAAUCGGCUCGGCUAUGACGCCCGCAGCCUGGACUACGAGCUGGCGGGUGAGGGUGAGCGGGAAACGCCGCUGCAGCGCUGCCACCGGCUGAAGUGCGAAAUGAACGAGCUGAUGGAGGAGAUCGAAGCGUCCCGGGCGGACACGGGCCGCACGGCGGAAGAGAAAGCUUCCCACGAGACGGUGUUCGGGGUGGUCAGCACGGCCAAGAAGGUGCUGGAAAGCCUGAAGCUGGAGCAGGUGAUCGGCAGCGAGGUGGUGGCCGGUGGUGCUGGCGGGGGCGAUGCGGAAGCGAAGAAACUGAUUGCGCAGAUCGAGGAGUACAGGAAGACGGGCGCGGUGUCGAGCAGCGAUCCGAAGGCGGUCGCGAACGAGCUGGUGCAGAGUGCGCGCGUGGCACAGCUGGAACAUCGGCUGCACCAGCUGGAGGUGGCGGUGGGUGCGAAACCGGAACGCAUCAGCCGGCUGGCGGGCACGACCGGGACGGGCAAUUUGAUCGAGGCUGUGCAAAACAUAUCGGCCAAGGCGGCACUGCUGCAACCGUCCCAGCUGGACACGAUCGAGCAGCGGCUGAACAAUCUGCUGCAGCAGAUGAACAGCAUACAGGAGAAAUCGAACGCCACGGGGCAAGAUCCGAACCGGGAGCAGAAGAUCUUGGAGCUUUAUGAAAUCGCAAAAAGCACCGAACCGAUCGUACAGGUCCUGCCCGACAUAUUGAACCGUAUGCUGACGCUGGAAUCGUUGCACAAAUAUGCUACCAACUUUAGCAAGCUGUUCGCGGAGCUGGAAACCACACAAGCCUCCAUCCUGAAUGGGGUGGCCGCCAACAAGACGCUGCUCACCGGCGUGCAGGAAGCAUUCGCGCAGAACCUGGAAAACGUCAACAAGGAGGUGAAGAAGCUCGAGGAACGCAUGACCAAACUGCAGCAGAUGAUUAAGUAGGCUGUGCGUGCCUCCGGUGUAGAAGAUAGUUCAUUCUCUCGUAAGCUGUGUCUGCUGUGUGGUAAGAAUGCUUCGUCACAAUUAUUCCACCCCUCAUACUGCAAUGAUGCUUUGUUUUCGUCCGUGUGAAAAAAAAAACAACUAAAAAACGUGAAUAUUUAUUUAAUCGCAAUCUAUUAAUUUUAAUUACUCAUUGGUCACAAAAUGUUAAAUGAAGCUGCUUUGUGCAGAGUUGAAGAUGACAUUUGUUGAAGAAAUUUAUGAAUAGCGCUUACCAAUUGUGAAUUAAUAUUAACACAAAGGUUUUACGAAAACACCAUCAAGUUGCGUCAAGGUGAAAAUGGUUGAAAAAAAAAUUAAGGAAUCCUUCGAUCGAUUUCCCUUGGCUCUAGAGAAGGCUAUCGGAAUUUUGGGUCAAAAUCUGUAUCGGUAACAAUAUCGAAAUCGCGGUGCCUGCCAGGAAGAAGCAACCGAUUAACCAGUUUGUCUGCACCCUGUGCAAAUUCUUCUUAACGAUAGGAUUCUUCGUGCAUAAUUACAUGUUCCAUUUCUCAUUAACGCCUCAUAAUGAAUCAUUGGACUGUCUGUUCUGCUAGAGGUAAACCAAUUGAUCACGUUCCCAAUGGAAAGGCUACAACCGGCCUAGCUCAACCCAGUUAGAUUUGGGUAAAUCUGAUUCAGAUUCAUGAAUCGGAAUGAAUCUUUGAAAUGAUUCAAUAAAUCUGAAUCUCGGUUGCAAAGAUUGAUGCAUUUCAAAAGAUUUAUAUAAUUCGGAAAAUU
RNA transcript from Anopheles merus, 2068 nucleotides. It is a transcript of the gene named dynactin subunit 2, with no coding region annotated. The record is from RefSeq and is a predicted model, not a curated record. The transcript has 6 exons. Lineage: Eukaryota; Metazoa; Arthropoda; Insecta; Diptera; Culicidae.